Molecule: ribosomal RNA, 403 nt
Filed under: uncultured bacterium
Lineage: Bacteria
Description: bacterial SSU rRNA
Rfam family: Bacterial small subunit ribosomal RNA
Source: RNAcentral
AACAAACGCUGGCGGCGUGCCUAAUACAUGCAAGUCGAACGAGGAAGUAUCUUCGGAUAUUGUACUAGUGGCGUACGGGUGAGUAACGCGUGGAUAAUCUUCCUCUAGGUGGGGAAUAACCAGUCGAAAGAUUGGCUAAUACCGCAUAAGACCACAAUGUCUCCGGACAAAGGGGUUAAAGGUUUUUCGCCUGGAGAUGAGUCUGCGCUCGAUUAGCUAGUUGGUGAGGUAAUGGCUCACCAAGGCGACGAUCGAUAGCUGGUCUGAGAGGACGGCCAGCCACACUGGGACUGAGACACGGCCCAGACUCCUACGGAGGCAGCAGUAGGGAAUAUUGCACAAUGGAGGAAACUCUGAUGCAGCGACGCCGCGUGAGUGACGAAGGCCUUCGGGUUGUUAAAGG